AUCCUGCUGAAGAGGCCCAAAUAAGACGAAACACGCGUCCUUGAU
RNAcentral lists this non-coding RNA (45 nucleotides) under Schistosoma mansoni. The record is from RNAcentral. Lineage: Eukaryota; Metazoa; Platyhelminthes; Trematoda; Strigeidida; Schistosomatidae.